This is a small nucleolar RNA of Jaculus jaculus (lesser Egyptian jerboa), 137 nucleotides long. NCBI's taxonomy places the organism in Eukaryota, Metazoa, Chordata, Mammalia, Rodentia, Dipodidae. The record is from Ensembl.
GCAUGGAUUUAGAUUUCAUGGGAGUAGGCCCACACCCUUGGUCGUAUAUAGUGUCCCAUGCCAGAGCAAACUGAGGCCCUGAACCAUUGCCUGGACUCUCUGUGUAGGCUGCUGGCACUGAAGUGGGUUGCACAUUG